This 765-nucleotide long non-coding RNA is filed under the name Salvia miltiorrhiza (redroot sage). Its description in RNAcentral is "long non-coding RNA (SMIL_LNC012433)". Lineage: Eukaryota; Viridiplantae; Streptophyta; Magnoliopsida; Lamiales; Lamiaceae. The record is from RNAcentral.
CCGCACAUCCCUUAAAUUUCGGCGAGCCAUUGUCGCCUAUUCACCACGCCGUCGCGCCCCAACACCUUGCCGCCGAGAACCACAACUAGUCCAAUCGCCUUCGUCUCUGUCAGGGAAGCCAACACGACAAGAAUCGAAGACCGCUGUGCUGCAAGGGGCGACCCCCAUACCUUGAAGAAUUCAAAAGCUCUAUCAGAGAGAGAGAGAGAGUGAGAGAGAGAUGAUGGAGAUGAGUCGAGGAGAGAGGCGAGGACUGGCGGAGGCGGNGCAUCAUGCCGAAUUCCUCUGGCAAUUGGAAAAUUGUAGCCGCACAUCCCUUAAAUUUCGGCGAGCCAUUGUCGCCUAUUCACCACGCCGUCGCGCCCCAACACCUUGCCGCCGAGAACCACAACUAGUCCAAUCGCCUUCGUCUCUGUCAGGGAAGCCAACACGACAAGAAUCGAAGACCGCUGUGCUGCAAGGGGCGACCCCCAUACCUUGAAGAAUUCAAAAGCUCUAUCAGAGAGAGAGAGAGAGAUGAUGGAGAUGAGUCAGAGGGAGAGAGGCGAGGAGCGGCGGAGGCGGCCAGCCGCUGCUGUCAGCCGGACGUUUGAGAAGGUGGCGAUUAGGGCUCGAUUUUGAGAGAGGGAGAAAGAGAGAUAGUCAUGUGAGACAGGAGGCGCCGCGGCGUGGCUGCCGAUGGCGGCCCUCGCCGGAUCUGAGGGAGGUAAGAGGCGACGAGGAGAAUGGAAGGGAGUGUGAGGUUUCUGAAGUUAGAGAGAGAGA